This 253-nucleotide ribosomal RNA is filed under the name uncultured bacterium. Its description in RNAcentral is "partial 16S ribosomal RNA". It matches the Rfam family "Bacterial small subunit ribosomal RNA", at positions 524 to 776 of the family's 1533-position model. The record is from RNAcentral.
UACAGAGGGUGCGAGCGUUAAUCGGAAUUACUGGGCGUAAAGCGCGCGUAGGCGGCUUUGCAAGUCGGGUGUGAAAUCCCCAGGCUUAACCUGGGAACUGCAUUCGAGACUGCAUUGCUAGAGUAUGGGAGAGGGAAGUGGAAUUUCAGGUGUAGCGGUGAAAUGCGUAGAUAUCUGGAGGAACACCGGUGGCGAAGGCGGCAUUCUGGACCGAAACUGACGCUGAGGCGCGAAAGCCAGGGGAGCAAACGGG